Molecule: ribosomal RNA, 460 nt
Filed under: uncultured bacterium
Lineage: Bacteria
Description: bacterial SSU rRNA
Rfam family: Bacterial small subunit ribosomal RNA
Source: RNAcentral
CGCUGGCGGCGUGCUUAACACAUGCAAGUCGAACGAUGAACCGGAGCUUGCUCCGGGGAUUAGUGGCGAACGGGUGAGUAACACGUGGGCAACCUGCCCCAGACACCGGGAUAACCUUCCGAAAGGAUGGCUAAUACCGGAUACGACCACUUCGGGCAUCCGACGGUGGUGGAAAGGAUUCUGGUCUGGGAUGGGCCCGCGGCCUAUCAGCUUGUUGGUGGGGUAAUGGCCUACCAAGGCGACGACGGGUAGCCGGCCUGAGAGGGCGACCGGCCACACUGGGACUGAGACACGGCCCAGACUCCUACGGGAGGCAGCAGUGGGGAAUAUUGCGCAAUGGGCGAAAGCCUGACGCAGCGACGCCGCGUGAGGGACGAAGGUCUUCGGAUUGUAAACCUCUUUCAGCAGGGACGAAGCGAAAGUGACUGUACCUGCAGAAGAAGCACCGGCUAACUACGUG